Molecule: ribosomal RNA, 494 nt
Filed under: uncultured bacterium
Lineage: Bacteria
Description: partial 16S ribosomal RNA
Rfam family: Bacterial small subunit ribosomal RNA
Source: RNAcentral
GACGAACGCUGGCGGCGUGCUUAACACAUGCAAGUCGAACGGUGAAGCGCCUUCCUUUUUGGUGGGUGUGGAUGAGUGGCGAACGGGUGAGUAACACGUGAGUAACCUGCCCCCUUCUUCUGGAUAACCGCAUGAAAGUGUGGCUAAUACGGGAUAUUCUGGGUCUGUCGCAUGAUGGGUCUGGGAAAGAUAUUGUUUCGGUGGGGGAUGGGCUCGCGGCCUAUCAGCUUGUUGGUGGGGUGAUGGCCUACCAAGGCGGUGACGGGUAGCCGGCCUGAGAGGGUGGACGGUCACACUGGGACGGCAACACGGCCCAGACUCCUACGGGAGGCAGCAGUGGGGAAUAUUGCACAAUGGGCGCAAGCCUGAUGCAGCGACGCCGCGGGAGGGAUGGAGGCCUUCGGGUUGUGAACCUCUUUCGCCAGUGAAGCAGGCCUGCCUCGUUUGUGGGUGGGUUGACGGUAGCUGGAUAAGAAGCGCCGGCUAACUACGUG